CGGCGGGUGAGUAACGCGUGGAAAACCUGCCGUAUACUGGGGGAUAACACUUAGAAAUAGGUGCUAAUACCGCAUAAGCGCACAGCUUCGCAUGAAGCGGUGUGAAAAACUCUGGUGGUAUACGAUGGUUCCGCGUCUGAUUAGCUAGUUGGUGGGGUAAUGGCCUACCAAGGCAACGAUCAGUAGCCGGCCUGAGAGGGUGAACGGCCACAUUGGGACUGAGACACGGCCCAAACUCCUACGGGAGGCAGCAG
This 254-nucleotide ribosomal RNA is filed under the name uncultured bacterium. RNAcentral describes it as "partial 16S ribosomal RNA". It matches the Rfam family "Bacterial small subunit ribosomal RNA", at positions 100 to 354 of the family's 1533-position model. The record is from RNAcentral.